Molecule: ribosomal RNA, 502 nt
Filed under: uncultured bacterium
Lineage: Bacteria
Description: bacterial SSU rRNA
Rfam family: Bacterial small subunit ribosomal RNA
Source: RNAcentral
UUCUGGCUCAGGAUGAACGCUGGCGGCGUGCCUAAUACAUGCAAGUCGAACGAGGGUAGUAAUACCCUAGUGGCGAACGGGUGAGUAACACGUAGGUAACCUGCCUUUUAGCUUGGGAUACCCGAAGGAAACUUUGGCUAAUACCGGAUAAUAACAACCGAGGCAUCUCGGAUGUUUGAAAGGAGCUCUAAAGCUUCACUAAAAGAUGGACCUGCGGCGCAUUAGCUAGUUGGUGAGAUAACAGCCCACCAAGGCGAGGAUGCGUAGCCGAACUGAGAGGUUGAACGGCCACAUUGGAACUGAGACACGGUCCAAACUCCUACGGGAGGCAGCAGUAAGGAAUAUUGGUCAAUGGGCGGAAGCCUGAACCAGCCCAUGCCGCGUGCAGGAUGACGGCCCUACGGGUUGUAAACUGCUUUUCCCCGGGAAGAAUAAGCCCCUCGUGAGGGGUGAUGCCGGUACCGGGGGAAUAAGGAUCGGCUAACUCCGUGCCAGCAGCGGC